RNAcentral lists this ribosomal RNA (589 nucleotides) under uncultured bacterium. RNAcentral's name for it is "partial 16S ribosomal RNA". It matches the Rfam family "Bacterial small subunit ribosomal RNA", at positions 355 to 1375 of the family's 1533-position model. The record is from RNAcentral.
UGGGGAAUUUUGGACAAUGGGCGAAAGCCUGAUCCAGCAAUGCCGCGUGUGUGAAGAAGGCCUUCGGGUUGUAAAGCACUUUUGUCCGGAAAGAAAUCCUUGGCUCUAAUACAGUCGGGGGAUGACGGUACCGGAAGAAUAAGCACCGGCUAACUACGUGCCAGCAGCCGCGGUAAUACGUAGGGUGCAAGCGUUAAUCGGAAUUACUGGGCGUAAAGCGUGCGCAGGCGGUUUGCUAAGACCGAUGUGAAAUCCCCGGGCUCAACCUGGGAACUGCAUUGGUGACUGGCAGGCUAGAGUAUGGCAGAGGGGGGUAGAAUUCCACGUGUAGCAGUGAAAUGCGUAGAGAUGUGGAGGAAUACCGAUGGCGAAAGGCAGCCCCCUGGGCCAAUACUGACGCUCAUGCACGAAAGCGUGGGGAGCAAAACAGGAUUAGAUACCCUGGUAGUCCACGCCCUAAAACGAUGUCAACUAGUUGUUGGGGAUUCAUUUCCUUAGUAACGUAGCUAACGCGUGAAGUUGACCGCCUGGGGGAGCACGGUCGCAAGAUUAAAACUCAAAUGAAUUGACGGGGUCAUAGCUGUUUCCU